This 253-nucleotide ribosomal RNA is filed under the name uncultured bacterium. RNAcentral describes it as "partial 16S ribosomal RNA". It matches the Rfam family "Bacterial small subunit ribosomal RNA", at positions 524 to 776 of the family's 1533-position model. The record is from RNAcentral.
UACGUAGGGGGCAAGCGUUGUCCGGAAUUACUGGGCGUAAAGCGCGUGUAGGCGGCCCUGCAAGUCGGGUGUGAAAUCCCACGGCUCAACCGUGGAAGUGCACUCGAAACUGCAGGGCUAGAGUCCUGGAGAGGAAGGUGGAAUGCUUGGUGUAGAGGUGAAAUUCGUAGAUAUCAAGCGGAACACCGGUGGCGAAGGCGGCCUUCUGGACAGUGACUGACGCUGAGACGCGAAAGCGUGGGGAGCAAACAGG